RNAcentral lists this ribosomal RNA (428 nucleotides) under Bacillus sp. KNF4. RNAcentral's name for it is "bacterial SSU rRNA". It matches the Rfam family "Bacterial small subunit ribosomal RNA", at positions 440 to 857 of the family's 1533-position model. The record is from RNAcentral. Lineage: Bacteria; Bacillati; Bacillota; Bacilli; Caryophanales; Bacillaceae.
UAGGGAAGAACAAGUACCGUUCGAAUAGGGCGGUACCUUGACGGUACCUAACCAGAAAGCCACGGCUAACUACGUGCCAGCAGCCGCGGUAAUACGUAGGUGGCAAGCGUUGUCCGGAAUUAUUGGGCGUAAAGGGCUCGCAGGCGGUUUCUUAAGUCUGAUGUGAAAGCCCCCGGCUCAACCGGGGAGGGUCAUUGGAAACUGGGGAACUUGAGUGCAGAAGAGGAGAGUGGAAUUCCACGUGUAGCGGUGAAAUGCGUAGAGAUGUGGAGGAACACCAGUGGCGAAGGCGACUCUCUGGUCUGUAACUGACGCUGAGGAGCGAAAGCGUGGGGAGCGAACAGGAUUAGAUACCCUGGUAGUCCACGCCGUAAACGGAUGAGUGCUAAGUGUUAAGGGGUUUCCGCCCCUUAGUGCUGCAGCUAACG